GUCUAGACGAGGCUGAAAUUUUUGACAUAGGUGCCCUCACGUGGGAUUUACAUUUGGCUUAAGCCCUGAGAGGGUGGUUAAUGAUCUACCAGGUUGACUAAUUGAAGCUGGAAUGAGGAUGGUUUAGGAUUAACCAGGUAAAACUGCUUGAACUCCCUGGUCUGCUGUACAGGACCAAGAUCAAAGGCUCGGGAAACAGAACUGUAGAAAAAGAUGUACUGUUUGCAACUGACUCGGCCUCCCCCUAAUCACAGCCCCUCCCGGGAUCAGGCUAGAGGACACUGCAUUGUUUAAAAAUGUAAAUUGACCUACACUGUGCGAUAUUUAAAGUGAGGGGAGAAGGGACAGACUUGGAAUUGCAUUUGAGCAUUUUUAGAACACGAUUCAGUGACCAGAGUGAUUGCCUACUACCCAGAGUAUCAUGUAAGGGCUGAAAACAUCUUGAAAGAACGUGGACAAGGAAUGAAGGUCAGGGCCACACGGCACCUGCGCUCUUUCCACGGAUGGCACGAGAGGCUUUCAGACACGACACAUCCCAGGGCGGCAUCAAUGCCCAGGAGAGUGAUGCUCAAACUUGGAUCACACCAGAAUCCCCUGGAUGGGUUGUUAAAGCACAGAUCGCUGGCCCUACCCCUGGAGUUUCUGAUUCA
Vicugna pacos (alpaca) is the source of this 650-nucleotide non-coding RNA. NCBI's taxonomy places the organism in Eukaryota, Metazoa, Chordata, Mammalia, Artiodactyla, Camelidae. The record is from RefSeq and is a predicted model, not a curated record.